AGAUAACUGGGCCCCUGGGCUCAGGAGGCCUGCACCCUCUGCUCUGGGUUAAGUUUUGUCUGCAGCUCGAUUUCUUGGUUCCCUGACUGGGAAGCGAGGUGAAUGGCGGAUGGUCAAGGCAGCUCCUUAGGCGGCUUAAACCUGCCCUGUGGAACAUCCCUGCAGGGGACUCCAACCAGCCCGAGCAACACGGAUCCUGAGGGCGCUCCUGGUUAGGCAUUUGCCCCACUGGGACGCCUCGCCAGAGCACUGUAUGGCAGGCCCCCAUGGAGGAUCAACGCAGUGGCUGAACACCGGGAAGGAACGGGCACUUGGAGUCUGGACAUCUAAAACUUGGUGGAAAGAAGAAAAACUCGAGCCAGCCUGGAAGGACCCUACCUUGUGUUGCUAACCACCAAGACUGCUGUUCGUACAGCAAAAAAGGAUGGACUCGUCACACCAGAAUCAAGAAAGUGCCACCCCCUCCAGAGUCAUGGGCCACAGUCCCAGAGGAAAACCCUGCCAAACUAAAGCUACGAAAAAUCUCUUUUCAUCUAUUCUAUUACUCUUCUUUCUUUCCUCGUGCUAUUGCUGACCAUCUAGUUAUUAACAUAACCAAGUCAAUUUCACCUCAAACUAUUGCAUUUAAUGCUUGCCUUGUUAUACCCUGUGGGGACUUGCCAAGUCAAAGACAGCUCUCUACUUCAGAAAAGUACUUCUGUCCCUCCUGACUCUCCUCAGACUGGACAUUAGUAAACUAGGACCAUUUAAUCCAGGGAGAUUUCGAUAAAGACCCCAGUGCCAACCAGGAGUCUUGUCCCCUGAUGUAGAGUUUUUAUGCCGUAGUUGGUCCAACGUUCUGUGGACCACUAAAGAGCAAGAAUGGACUGCCCCAACCAGUUUUUGUAAUUUCCUAAAACCAUACAUUCGUUUUACUAGAGGAUCAUAGAAGUUAAAGAGUUAAAACAAACUUUACCAAUGAAGACAGGAUACCAAGAUGCAAAUGCCUGGUUAAAAUGCAUCAAAUAUUCCAUCUGCACGUUAAACAAAAGCAAUUGUUAUGCUUGUGCACAUGGCAGGCCAGAGGCCCAGAUUGUCCCCUUUCCACUAAGGUGGUCCUCCAGUCGACCAGAUGUGGGCUGCCUGGUAGCUCUUUUCCAGGAUUCUACAGCCUGUAUUAAUAAGUCAUGCCAAGCUCUCUCUGCUAUAUCCCAAAGUCCAGCACCCUGCGGGUCAGCCCCCGAGGGCCAUCCAUCCUCCAUCUCCCAACACUAAGUUCACUUCAUGUCUCUCACAACAGGGAGGAAACUUAGCGUUCCUUGGAGACCUGAAAGGAUGCAGUUAGCUUAAGAAUUUUCAAGAGCUUAUCAAUCAGUCAGCCCUUGUUCAUCCCCGAGCAGAUGUGUGGUGGUAUUGUGGUGGACCUUUACUGGGCACUCUGCCAAAUAACUGGAGUGGCACUUGUACUUUAGUCCAAUUGGCUAUCCCUUUCACCCUGGCAUUUCAUCAACCAGAAGGAAAAAAAGAAAGACAUUGUAAAGCGAGAGAAGCCCCUUAUGGGUCUUUCGACUCUCAUGUCUAUUUAGAUGCAAUUGGAGUCCCACGAAGAAUACCAGAUCAAUUUAAAGCUUGAAAUCAAAUAGCUGCAGGAUUUAAGUCAAUAUUUUAGUGGGUGACAGUUAAUAAAAAUGUAGAUUAGAUAAACUACAUCUAUUACAACCAACAACAACGAGGUUUUCAUGAGUUAAAAGAAAACCUCAUGUUGGUCCCAGCCCUGAGGCUACCUGACCUGACAAAACUCUUUACACUCUAUGUGUCAGAAAGAGAAAAAAUGGCAGUUGGAGUUUUAACCCAUACUGUGAGGCCCUGGCCAAGGCCAGUGGCCUAUCUCUCAAAACAACUAGACAGGAUUUCCAAAGGCUGGCCCCCAGGUCUAAGGGCCCUAGCAGCAACAGCCCUGUUAGCACAAGAAGCAGAUAAACUAACCCUUAGGAAAACCUGAAUAUAAAGGCCCCCCAUGCUGUGGUAACUUUAAUGACUACCAAAGGACCUCAUUGGUUACAAAUGCUAGAUUAACCAAGUACCAAAGCUUGCUAUGUGAAAAUCCCCACAUAACCACUGAAGUUUGCAACACCCUAAACCCCACCACCUUGCUCCUGGUAUCAGAGAGCCUAGUUGAACAUACUGUGUAGAGGUGUUGGACUCAGUUUAUUCUAGCAGGCCCAACCUCCGAGACUAUCCUUAAACAUCAGUAGACUGUGAGGGGUACGUGGACGGGAGUAGCUUCGCCAACCCCUGCAAAGUGACUCUGAAGAAGACGACAAGCUCUGCUCCAGUCACACCCAGAAGCUGACUGGUCCACGCACGGCCGAAGCAUGAGAAAACUCAUUGCGGAACUCAUUUUCCUUAAAAUUUGGACUUUUACAGUAAGGACUUCAACUGACCUUCCUCAGACUGAGGACUGUUCCAGUGUAUACAUCAAGUCACUGAGGUAGGACAAAAGGUUGCUACAGUCCUAUUAUUUUAUGGUUAUUAUAAGUGUACUGGAACUCUAAAAAUAACUUGUUUGUAUAAUGUUAUUCUGUACAAGGUAUGUAGCCCAGGAAGUGACCAACCUGAUGUGUGUUAUGACCCAUCUGAGCCUCCCAUGACCACGGUUUUUAAAAUAAGAUUAAGGACUGAGGACUGGUGGGGGCUCAUAAAUGAUAUGAGUA
Molecule: long non-coding RNA, 2693 nt
Organism: Homo sapiens (human)
Lineage: Eukaryota; Metazoa; Chordata; Mammalia; Primates; Hominidae
Source: Ensembl